AUUAAAAACAAACACAUUUGAAGUAAAGAACAAAACUAAACAAGACAAAGAAAAGAUUAAUAACAAUAAUUAUAAUAAUUAAAAAGUAAAAACGUCAUGGACUCUGGGAGCAGCUUCAGGUUGGACUGGUUUCACAUAUUUUAUACUAGGAAGGAAUGAGGGCGUGGAAGAGUUCUCACCUCACACACACACACAAACACACACACACACAGUCACAGAGCAGACACACACACACACACACUGAUGAAGAACUGACCAACAUCUGAAACAGGAAGGACAGCAGACCUCCAGGAACAAACUCUGCAGAGAAAAGUUUUACAGUCUAUCCAGUAAAACACACCAAAACAGCAAGACGCUUCCUGUUCCUUUAUUGGAGACUGUUCACUAUCUGUAAAGCUAGUUCACACACACUAGUACAGGCAGAAUAGUAAAAAGACAUGAUGGAAGGCCAACCAAAAGUCGAAAAAGAUGACAACACUGCUGUCCCUGACCACCAAAGUACAGUCAGCAAUGCUGGUGACCUGUGGGUCACCAGCUGUUCCAACAGCUCACGUGCCAGUCAGCGGUCCUGUGCCAGUCAACGGUCCAAUGCAAGCGUUUUGGCUGCAAAAGCACGUGCUAAAGCAGCAGCCGCACAAGCGCAAGUAUCAUACGCUGAAAGAGAAGCAGAGGUGAUAAAGGAACAAGCCCACAUUGAAGCUGAAGCUACAAAAAAGAAAGCAGAGCUCAGCGCUGACCUCCUCAAACUGCGUCUACAACGUGAAGCUGCAGCCGCCAAUGCCGAAGCAGAGGUCCUAGAGGCAGCAGCCGAGGAUGAAGGAGGAGAUACCUGGUUUCCAACAAAUAGCAACAACGUCGUCCAGAACAGCUCAUCAUCUCAUGACGUGGAGAUGGAUCAGGACACGGUGAAGGAACAACAUGAGAUCCAGACUGAAGAUCAGAAGAAGCAGCUCACAUCUGGACCUGGACCCAGCUGUGUGUCCUUUAGAAGUGACCAGUCUAUGAUUAAACCCAUUAACUUCAAAGGAGGUCCAUCUACUGACCCACAGUGUGUCUCUGCUAUUGAUCAGGACACGGUGAAGGAACAACAUGAGAUCCAGACUGAAGAUCAGAGGACCAGGAAGCAGCUCACACCUGGACCUGGACCUGGACCCAGCUGUGUGUCCUUUAGAAGUGACCAGUCCAUGUACAGACUCCUUGACUUCAAAGGAGGUCCAUCUACUGACCCACAUGGCCUUGUCGGUUCCCCCUUCAUUGUUCGGUCAGCCUUCGUCUCAGCAUCAGCUGGUGUCGGCAAUCAUCUUGGAUCCAUGUUGCCUGCUCCGCGACCUUCACUGCCGUGUGGGUCGUUCGUUUCCGGUCGGCUGAAAGAAAAGCAGGAAGUAUUAAUUCGAUUUUCUUUUCCUGGAGUAAGAAGAAGCAUAGCUGGAGUUGCAGUGAUUAUCUGUGGUACAUCUACUUACCUGGUGAGAAGCAACAAUUUGAGAACCACUGUUUACAAGGACAUGCAAGUCGGACGGAGAAGGACAUGCAAGUCAGACGGAGAAGGACAUGCAAGUCAGACGGAGAAGGACAUGCAAGUCAGACGGAGAAGGACAUGCAAGUCAGACGGAGAAGGACAUGCAAGUCAGACGGAGAAGUGUGGAGUGUGAUUACAUGUCUUCUCAAGAUGAAUACAUACAAUUGGGAGACAUGGAGAUGUGAGAAAGCUAAAUGAGUUUAACCAAAUAAAUAAAUAAUGUUAUUUAUUUAUUUAAAUUGU
Long non-coding RNA from Gouania willdenowi (blunt-snouted clingfish), 1762 nucleotides. Lineage: Eukaryota; Metazoa; Chordata; Actinopteri; Blenniiformes; Gobiesocidae. The record is from Ensembl.